This 253-nucleotide ribosomal RNA is filed under the name uncultured bacterium. RNAcentral describes it as "partial 16S ribosomal RNA". It matches the Rfam family "Bacterial small subunit ribosomal RNA", at positions 524 to 776 of the family's 1533-position model. The record is from RNAcentral.
UACGUAGGGGGCAAGCGUUGUCCGGAUUUAUUGGGCGUAAAGAGCGUGUAGGCGGCCAGACAAGUCUGCUGUGAAAACUCGAGGCUCAACCUCGAGCUGUCGGUGGAAACUGUCUGGCUAGAGUCCGGAAGAGGAGAGUGGAAUUCCUGGUGUAGCGGUGAAAUGCGCAGAUAUCAGGAAGAACACCUAUGGCGAAGGCAGCUCGCUGGGACGGUACUGACGCUGAGGCGCGAAAGCGUGGGGAGCGAACAGG